This 253-nucleotide ribosomal RNA is filed under the name uncultured bacterium. RNAcentral's name for it is "partial 16S ribosomal RNA". It matches the Rfam family "Bacterial small subunit ribosomal RNA", at positions 524 to 776 of the family's 1533-position model. The record is from RNAcentral.
UACGUAGGGUGCAAGCGUUGUCCGGAAUUAUUGGGCGUAAAGAGCUCGUAGGCGGUUUGUCACGUCGGAUGUGAAAUCCCGGGGCUUAACCUCGGGUCUGCAUUCGAUACGGGCUGACUAGAGUUCGGUAGGGGAGACUGGAAUUCCUGGUGUAGCGGUGAAAUGCGCAGAUAUCAGGAGGAACACCGGUGGCGAAGGCGGGUCUCUGGGCCGAUACUGACGCUGAGGAGCGAAAGCGUGGGGAGCGAACAGG